AAAGGAAAAAAAACCGGCCAAGUAAAACAAUUGUGAAAACUCAAAAUGCCAAAUGGCUUCUAGGCCUUUCCGUCGGAAGAAAAAUGUCUGGCAACUUUCUUGAUUCCGCCAUGAUUGAGCCACUAAAACAUAUCUGCUUGAAACCUCAGAUGGCAGGAACGUAUCCCACCCGUUUUUUUUUUUGUUUUUUUUUUUUAAAUACCACAGCGAGACGGGAGCAGCGCUAGCUCGUGGGCUGACAGGUGCCAAGUCCCCCAAAAUCUAGAAAACCAACACAUUAAGGGACUUGAAUGGAAGCCAACGGCUUUCAAAACUGCUGAAAUCAAGUCGCACCUUACUUCAAACCGUCAUGACCGACGUUAAAGUAAAGCAGCUACUAUAACGUUGAGCAUGAGUUCCAAAAGGUGGCGCCCCUUCCAUCGGACGCAACCCCGCAAGAAGCCGCCUUGCUCACGAGCGCCGGUCGACGUCAUCUCGGCGCUACAGCGACUCGGAGCCCGUCGUGUGGCUUGAAAACGAAUCCCCGCGACAUCCGCGGGGCUGCAUUAGAACCCGGUCGGCGGCGUUUCCUUUCCUGACUUGAGCGCCUGCGACAAGUCGCGGCGUGGACGGCGUGCCAAAUAUGGUCGCCGGCGGCAGGAAGGGGCGGCGACAUUUCAAACCUUUCCUCGGGCACCCUUGAGCGCCUGCCGACUUGUCUCCUCUUUUGUCUUUUUUUUUAGCCGAGCUUCGUCACCGUGACGUGACGCGGAAAUUCAAAAUAUCGUCUCCCGGCGACGCUCACGUUGAUGCCUCUCGCGUUUCUCCUUUGGCUCGGCAGCCCAAACGGACUUGCUCACAAUUACAAGUUGGCCCGCUCAACACGGCCGGAGCGAGUUCAAAGUCACGUAGAGUGGCGCCAAACGGCUUCUCAAAUUUGUUGACUUUUGGCAAAAUGAAAUGAA
Long non-coding RNA from Syngnathoides biaculeatus (alligator pipefish), 944 nucleotides. RefSeq lists it as uncharacterized. NCBI's taxonomy places the organism in Eukaryota, Metazoa, Chordata, Actinopteri, Syngnathiformes, Syngnathidae. The record is from RefSeq and is a predicted model, not a curated record. The transcript has 3 exons.